RNAcentral lists this unclassified non-coding RNA (332 nucleotides) under soil metagenome. RNAcentral's name for it is "partial contains 5.8S ribosomal RNA, internal transcribed spacer 2, and large subunit ribosomal RNA". The stretch from base 1 to 120 matches the Rfam family "5.8S ribosomal RNA", at positions 35 to 154 of the family's 154-position model. The record is from RNAcentral.
GAUGAAGAACGCAGCAAAAUGCGAUAAGUAAUGUGAAUUGCAGAAUUCAGUGAAUCAUCGAAUCUUUGAACGCACAUUGCGCCCGCCAGUAUUCUGGCGGGCAUGCCUGUUCGAGCGUCAUUUCAACCCUCAAGCACAGCUUGGUGUUGGGACUCGCGUUAAUUCGCGUUCCCCAAAUUGAUUAGCGGUCACGUCGAGCUUCCAUAGCGUAGUAGUAAAACCCUCGUUACUGGUAAUCGUCGCGGCCACGCCGUUAAACCCCAACUUCUGAAUGUUGACCUCGGAUCAGGUAGGAAUACCCGCUGAACUUAAGCAUAUCAAUAAGCGGAGGA